ACUCCUACGGGAGGCAGCAGUGGGGAAUAUUGGACAAUGGGCGCAAGCCUGAUCCAGCCAUGCCGCGUGAGUGAUGAAGGCCCUAGGGUUGUAAAGCUCUUUCACCGGAGAAGAUAAUGACGGUAUCCGGAGAAGAAGCCCCGGCUAACUUCGUGCCAGCAGCCGCGGUAAUACGAAGGGGGCUAGCGUUGUUCGGAAUUACUGGGCGUAAAGCGCACGUAGGCGGAUCGAUCAGUCAGGGGUGAAAUCCCAGGGCUCAACCCUGGAACUGCCUUUGAUACUGUCGAUCUGGAGUAUGGAAGAGGUGAGUGGAAUUCCGAGUGUAGAGGUGAAAUUCGUAGAUAGUCGGAGGAACACCAGUGGCGAAGGCGGCUCACUGGUCCAUUACUGACGCUGAGGUGCGAAAGCGUGGGGAGCAAACAGGAUUAGAAACCCGGGUAGUCCCA
This 446-nucleotide ribosomal RNA is filed under the name uncultured organism. RNAcentral's name for it is "partial 16S ribosomal RNA". It matches the Rfam family "Bacterial small subunit ribosomal RNA", at positions 335 to 797 of the family's 1533-position model. The record is from RNAcentral.